Molecule: long non-coding RNA, 579 nt
Filed under: Pan troglodytes (chimpanzee)
Lineage: Eukaryota; Metazoa; Chordata; Mammalia; Primates; Hominidae
Description: lincRNA
Source: RNAcentral
CUGGUUGCUGACCCCACACUCCUCAAGUCCUCUGUCUGCAGGAUACUAGGAUGCUGACCUUUCAUCAUUCCACUGACGUUAUGUGGCCUAAAAUCCUCAGCUUGAAGACUCAAAUUAUCGAAACUUCAGGGGAAAAAUUUAAACUUUCCUACACCAGAAUCAGCGUGAGAGAAGAACCUAGUUGCCACCCCAGCCAGACACUCCCUUGCACCAUAUUUGCUUGUCUAAUGAUGUACUUGCUUAGAAGUUCCAGGGGCUAAUCUUGAAAUAAACCAGGCAUAGAGAUCCAGUUGUGGAAGUCUCCCCCACCUAGAAAUUGCCUCAAGAUGGUUAAUCUACAACCCAACCAUUGUCAAAAUGAUCCCAGUUCAUACUCCAGGUGGACAACAACUCAAGAUAGCCAUUGGAGCAAGAUAUGCCGACCUCCAUCCUGCACCACUCCCCCAUGCUUCCCAUAGCAAGUUUCCCUUCCCAACCCCCUUCACUUAACCUGAAAAUUUGAGAUGGUUCUUUGAGACCUAAGUCCAGCCGUUCUUCUCAAUGGCUAGCCUUUGAAUAAAACUGCUUUCCUCCAUUCCA